Molecule: ribosomal RNA, 447 nt
Filed under: uncultured organism
Description: partial 16S ribosomal RNA
Rfam family: Bacterial small subunit ribosomal RNA
Source: RNAcentral
CACUCCUGCGGGAGGCAGCAGUGGGGAAUAUUGGACAAUGGGCGCAAGCCUGAUCCAGCCAUGCCGCGUGAGUGAUGAAGGCCCUAGGGUUGUAAAGCUCUUUCACCGGUGAAGAUAAUGACGGUAACCGGAGAAGAAGCCCCGGCUAACUUCGUGCCAGCAGCCGCGGUAAUACGAAGGGGGCUAGCGUUGUUCGGAUUUACUGGGCGUAAAGCGCACGUAGGCGGACUAUUAAGUCAGGGGUGAAAUCCCGGGGCUCAACCCCGGAACUGCCUUUGAUACUGGUAGUCUUGAGUUCGAGAAAGGUGAGUGGAAUUCCGAGUGUAGAGGUGAAAUUCGUAGAUAUUCGGAGGAACACCAGUGGCGAAGGCGGCUCACUGGCUCGAUACUGACGCUUAGGUGCGAAAGCGUGGGGAGCAAACAGGAUUAGAUACCCUGGUAGUCCCA